AGUGAUGUAAUUCAUCUGGUAGAAAGCUUGCCUACCAUGCAUGAGGACCUGGGUUUGAUCCCCAGCACCCUA
RNAcentral lists this transfer RNA (72 nucleotides) under Mus musculus (house mouse). It matches the Rfam family "tRNA". From Rfam's summary of the family: Transfer RNA (tRNA) molecules are approximately 80 nucleotides in length. The record is from Rfam by way of RNAcentral. Lineage: Eukaryota; Metazoa; Chordata; Mammalia; Rodentia; Muridae.